This 2935-nucleotide long non-coding RNA is filed under the name Selaginella moellendorffii. RNAcentral's name for it is "long non-coding RNA (SMOE_LNC001124)". The record is from RNAcentral. Lineage: Eukaryota; Viridiplantae; Streptophyta; Lycopodiopsida; Selaginellales; Selaginellaceae.
CCGAGGGUCAUCUCCUGUUGACUCUGCGUUCUUCAUCCUUGAUCUCACAGGUGAAGUUGGAGCACUGGCGGUGGCUGCCGAGCACGACAGGACAAUGUCACUAGCAUUGAUCUCCGCCCCCUGAGCUGCUAGCCUGUAAAGAAGCGACUUCUUCACCCCGUGAUACUCUUCCUCCGAGAUGCAUCGAGCGUACAGAAGCUCCUACAAGUGGAAAGACAUCACGUAAGUAAGAUCAUCGAAGAACUCCAUCAAGAAAAAAACUAUACGAUCACGCACUCUUACGAACUUCAGAACAAUGAAAAGUACCUGGAGGAACAGAAGCUUGUCUCUCGUGACCUGGGGGUACUCGCCUCCAUCGUAGCAAACAUCGAUGUUGUCCAGUAUCUUCUGGCGAAAGGACGCGACAUCCGAUUCACUGACCAGUCCCUCUUGGAACAAACCCUUCAUGUUGACAAGCCGGAGGAACAUAUCCUGCUGCCACUUGAGAUUCUCUGCCUGUUGGUGGCUCGCCCUCCUCUCGGCAAGGCCAGGCGUCCAUCCCGCGGCAUUGUGCCUGGACGACGAGCAUCGCCGCAACGCCGGGACGAAGUUCCGAUAGAUUUCCAUGGCGCUGUCCUAGAAAUCCAAAACACUGAGCGGAUGGAUCCCGGCUAGAGCGAAGGGAAUACCUGGAUCGCCUUGAAUGAAUUGCCGCCGCCUCCUCUUACCGACAUUGUUGCGCGCUGCUCGGAGACAAAGAUUUUGCAGGUGAUGCCGAUGCGCCGCGGCUGACGAUCGAUCGCCUGGAACCCUAGCUCAGCGCCUUCGGUUCAUACGAAUCAAUCCUUCUUCUCCUCUCUAUUCGCGAGGGUUUCCAAAAUAUGAGCUUUGCGGUCCAACGGUCAUCCCCAUCGCAGCCGUCAACAAACCAACGGCCCAGAUCUAGAUCUUAGAUUCCGGAAUCAGAGCUUGUCCGCUAGCGCGGAAAAACACUACUUAAAGACAAAAAUCUGAAUAUUCUUUCUUUAGUAUACACCAACCAAAGUUCGAACAACGAAGAACACAAUCCCAUGAUCUUCGAGACAAUUGAAAAUUAAAGAGAAAGAGAAAGAGAGAUAGAACGAGAGAGUCAUCCAAAAGAUAGCUAGAGAGAAAAAUAAAGAUCGAGACGAAAGAACCUCCAGAGUGUGUAGUGUAAUCUUAAAACUUUCCUUCUCGCCACCACCAGCACCACCACGAAAUUCACGCUUCCUUCUCGUCGAUGCUGGGCUUGAUGUAAGGAAGAAGCCCGAAAAAAUGCCGCAGCUCUCCAAUUGCUAAGCUCUAAAAACUGUAAGAACUGAUAGGGUUCCUGUCGCCCAUUUGCAAUUGAGUCCGCGUCAUGAUCAUAGAAAUGACAGUUCUUACGUGAAUGUGUAAGUGGAGUUCGUCCUGAGUAGAGCUCGUCAAUCAAAGUCCAAGUUCGCUCGCUCGCGAGGAGCCGGAAACCCAUGGAUUAGCCGCGGAAGUGGCUGGAUCUCCCUUGCAUCGCAAAAGCUAUAGCUCAAGGGUGGCGAGAUGAUCAUGCCUCGCCCGUUUUAAGACUGUUUGAAAUUCUAGACUCGAAGAGGAGUUUUUCUGUGUGGUAGCUUCUCAAUCUCCGCGCAUAGCUUCCCGUCCAGCUCCCUCUCGGAUUGCUCCACGCUCGCAUUGAACGACGUGACUUUGUUUGGCCGGGGUGAGCUCUCGUCCGUGCUUGUGAAGCACCGGGUGUUCACGCUGGAUUUGCUGCUCAUUUGCUUAGAUGUGAUGGCAUUGUUGUGGCGUCGUUCUCGCGACUGUUCCCAGAUCGCCGCUUUCUGCUUCGCAUUCUUGCUUGCCGCUUCCAUGUCUUUNNNNNNNNNNNNNNNNNNNNNNNNNNNNNNNNNNNNNNNNNNNNNNNNNNNNNNNNNNNNNNNNNNNNNNNNNNNNNNNNNNNNNNNNNNNNNNNNNNNNUGAAAGUUAGCGAAAGAGAUCUAAUGUGAAUGUCAAGGAACUUACUUUGGAAAGAAGCGCAUCAGCUCCAUGGCAAUUGCAUCUAUUCGAUCGUUCCUGCACCCAUUUGCAAUGAGUCAGCGUCAUGAUCAUAGAACUGUCUGCCUGUUGAUCGCGCUCAAGCUCCUUAAUGUUUUCGCCAAGAACCUGGACAGACUUCGAGAGUUAAUGCACACUCAAACGAGAAGAGAGAUAUGUACCUUGUCAAUAUAAAAGUCAGUAGAAGCUCCCCCCUCGGCUUGGAACUUCUUUGUAGAGCUAGCUUCGACGGGUCUUUCCAACGUAGACGCAAAACCGUUCUUAGAGCACGCUUCAGCUGAUGGAGGAGCCUUUGCAGGAUUUCUAUCUUGGGCAUCUUAGAGCAUGCUUCGACUGAUGCAAAGAAGAAACCGUUCUUCUUUGAGCAUGCUUCGGCAGACGCGGGAGCCUUGGAAGGACUUUCCAUCAUCGUCUGAGCAUGCUUCGGCGGAUGGAGGAGCCUUUGGAGAGUUUCCAACCGUAGAAAAGAAACCGUUGGAAGAGCUUUCCAUCGUGGACACGGAACCGCUUGGAGAGUGGAAGAGGGGCGACCUGCAUUGAUCCGAGGUGUCAGACUCUAGUCUCUGGCACUGAUAAAGUCGAGUCCAGUCCGUGAGGAACUCUUCUCUCGUUAUUCUUCCCACUCUGCUUGCAGCUUCGAACAAGUGCUGCACCGGGGACUUGCUCUUCGCUACUCUUUGCAUUGCCUCGUCCUUUAGCUUCUCCCGAGGAUCAUCUCCUGCAUUCUUCAUCCUUGCUCUCACAGGUGAAGUUGGAGCACUGGCUGUGGCUGCCAGGCACGACAAGACAAUGUCACUGGAAUUGAUCUCCGCCCCUUGAGCUGCUAGCCUGUAAAGAAGCGACUUCUUCGCCGCGGGAUACUCUUCUUCCGAGAUGCAUCGCGCGCACAGAAGCUCCUAGAAGU